AUUGUAAUCUUUAAUACUCAACAAGUAUUUGGAGGCUUUGUAUAUGUAGCACACUGGUCUAAUUACUGUAUGUAGAUAUAUAAGUACAUUAUUUUAAAAUCUUAAAUUUAAUGUUUAAUUCUAUGUGAACUUAAUAUUUUUUUAAGUGGGAGAUAAAGUAAAUAUGGCUUUUUUAUAGUCAUUCAUUGAAGUUAUUCAACACUUACAAGUGCCUGAAAACUGGGUUAGAAACUUUAGGAUACAUUACUUCAGCAUUCUUUUUUGAAAAUUUUAGAAAAUAUUAAUUUGGAUAAGAAUUUAGUAUCAGAGUACC
This 313-nucleotide long non-coding RNA is filed under the name Bos taurus (domestic cattle). RNAcentral describes it as "long non-coding RNA NONBTAT025774". Lineage: Eukaryota; Metazoa; Chordata; Mammalia; Artiodactyla; Bovidae. The record is from RNAcentral.